GAUGAACGCUGGCGGCGUGCCUAAUACAUGCAAGUCGAGCGAACAGACGAGGAGCUUGCUCCUCUGACGUUAGCGGCGGACGGGUGAGUAACACGUGGAUAACCUACCUAUAAGACUGGGAUAACUUCGGGAAACCGGAGCUAAUACCGGAUAAUAUAUUGAACCGCAUGGUUCAAUAGUGAAAGACGGUUUUGCUGUCACUUAUAGAUGGAUCCGCGCCGCAUUAGCUAGUUGGUAAGGUAACGGCUUACCAAGGCGACGAUGCGUAGCCGACCUGAGAGGAUGAUCGGCCACACUGGAACUGAGACGCGGUCCAGACUCCUACGGGAGGCAGCAGUAGGGAAUCUUCCGCAAUGGGCGAAAGCCUGACGGAGCAACGCCGCGUGAGUGAUGAAGGUCUUCGGAUCGUAAAACUCUGUUAUUAGGGAAGAACAAAUGUGUAAGUAACUAUGCACGUCUUGACGGUACCUAAUCAAAAAGCCACGGCUAACUACGUG
Molecule: ribosomal RNA, 497 nt
Filed under: uncultured bacterium
Lineage: Bacteria
Description: partial 16S ribosomal RNA
Rfam family: Bacterial small subunit ribosomal RNA
Source: RNAcentral